AAUAAAUAAAAUCAAAAGUGUGUGGUUGGUAGAAAAAGCUACUUUGGAAUUUGUGUUUGUGUGGAAUGAGAGUGCUCGGCCCAUAAGUUAAUCAUGAAACGAGAGGACUCUCAUUCUUCUUCUUUUUUUUUUUUCCUCUGAAUUUUUAUUAAUAAAACAGAGAAGGAUACAUCGACCGACGGAAAGAGUUAAUAUCCCUGGUAAGAUAAGCCGGCGGAAAAUAGUGAUAUCCCCGGAGACAAGAGCCCAAACAAGGGAAGCAUACAUAAGCCCGCAAAUUCCGACUAAUCUAAGCUCGGAACCUCGAGAAGCAUAGCCCGAUUACACGGGAGACAAGAACUUAAAGCAAACAAAAGGUUUUACAUGAGAUUAUACAAACUACUAAACUCAAACUUCCCAUAAAGGUUCAAACCGAGAGCAGAAAAAGAUCAGACAUCGUUGGGGCUCCGACAAUAUCCAAUAGAGGCUUCAACUCUUCUUGUCCUCGCUUAAAAUGGGUAGACUUCGGAAAUUAGAAACCUUGUGCUUCAUAAGUGUGGCACGACGAAAUGCCUGGGCCGGAUUUGAAACUAGCUCAACUAGUAACCGGUUAGGAGGACGCACAACACAUUCAGAUCUCGACCAAACCUGAAAAUAACUUCGAGUGGAGGAAACAAACAAGGUCGCUUAAACGACUCACCAAAAACUUCAGAGGGAAGGAAAGGUGAAGGAUGCGAUUCGAAUAAGCCUAGGGAGAAACCCACAAAGAGGAAAGAGCAAUUGCAGUAAAAUCUCAAAAAAUCAUUAAGCUAAACUAACUAAAGCCUUCUCAACAAAAGAGGAGCAGUCGCUCAUAAGAAGCAGCGACAACUCCCGGAUCCACACCGACCACUCUCGACACGGCCUAGCCAACCCAGAGAAGCAUCUCCCAAAACUACAACGAACCUCGCCAAGACGAAACUCCAUUGAAAUCAUAAAGAAGAAACACCAGAGAUUGCAAUAAUCUGGAGAGUAAAAAUGAGUUCCAAACCCCAAAAAAGACAAAGACCUGCGACAGAUCUAGAUCUAGAAAAGAAGAUCUGAAACUAAACUUAACCCUUGCACAACCAAGGAGAAAAACCGGUGAGAUACAAGUGAGAAGGAAGCACAAAACAUAAGCUAGAACAACUGGCCGGAGCCACCGUCGGAAGGACGGCGGCCACAGAAGCAAACCCUCGAAACUUUUUUUCUUUCGCUCUCUCUGUUUUUUUUUUUUCGACCUGACCGACCUCCAACUCUCAUUCUUCUCUUAGUUCUUUUUUUUUUCAUAUAUUUCAACAAAAAAUAUAUUUUAAAAAUUUGUAGAAACGGUUGGUAACAUAAAACAAAAAUACUAGAAAAAUAAACGAUAAAUGUUAGAAAUAUAGUUAUCAAUGUAUUUUUGAUCGUG
RNAcentral lists this long non-coding RNA (1408 nucleotides) under Arabidopsis lyrata. Its description in RNAcentral is "long non-coding RNA (ALYR_LNC002777)". The record is from RNAcentral. Lineage: Eukaryota; Viridiplantae; Streptophyta; Magnoliopsida; Brassicales; Brassicaceae.